Nothobranchius furzeri (turquoise killifish) is the source of this 8682-nucleotide non-coding RNA. Lineage: Eukaryota; Metazoa; Chordata; Actinopteri; Cyprinodontiformes; Nothobranchiidae. The record is from RefSeq and is a predicted model, not a curated record.
AACAUUCCUAGUGUGUGAUCGUUAUUAUAAUGUCAAAGUCAGUCACAUAUGAUGUGAAGAACCUGAAAUGCGACCUCCUGAACAGAAUUCCUCACAGAACCGGGUUAGGCUUUGGUGUAAAGCUGGAUUUCACGCUGUAAUGAUGUCUGUCAACUAGUGCUGCGUUAGAGCCACUGUUGCUGAAUUACCGACUGACACAAAAACAACCCGAAUUUUCUCCGAGCCUGACAGAAAUAGUCAAGUGGACCUUUUUUGUCGGCCAGGGCUUUGAGAAAUGUUCCGAUUCGCCGCUGAUUCUAACCUUACAUCCCGUUCCACAUUUUGUGAACUUGACAAAUUAGCCCGAAGGCAGUGCAGACUGAUAUUAGCUAAAUGGAGUGAACCACGUCUCUCAAACUUUGCAUUUAGGUAGGAAAUUGUCUUUAGAAGAUGCUAACUUUUAUUUAGCUUACUCACCUCAGACUGGAGCCCGCCAUGGUGGGGGAGCAGAGUCGGUGGGCUGCAUCUAAUUCGUGGAAGAGCCACGGUGGGCACGGCCUCCCUCUUCAAACGGAGACGUGCAGAAUAACCCAGUUCAAACUCCAUCAUGUUGGCGAAGGAAUCGCGGGUAAAAUGCUGGUUGCAGACUACAGCACCAGGCGGGAGCUGACUGUUUUCCAGUACACCGAUUGCGCGCAACCACUGGCGCCUAAUUUCUAAGUCCAGUGGAAAGGAGUGCAACCCCACAGAGCCACCACAACCAACUACACUACACCUUUUAACCAUACUAACACGAUAUGGAACACUAAACCUGAAUUACUUUCCUAAUAAAACUAACAGCUAAACACUAACUAAACUACAAUAUCUAACAGCCAAGCUAACACUAAAUAAGUAUGUAUAACACUAAAAGCUAUGCUAAAGACUAGAAUAUGCUAAUGAUAUAUGCUAACGAUAUGUAACACUAAACCUGAAUUACUUUCCUAAUAAAACUAACAGCUAAACACUAACUAAACUACAAUAUCUAACAGCCAAGCUAACACUAAAUAAGUAUGUAUAACACUAAAAGCUAUGCUAAAGACUAGAAUAUGCUAAUGAUAUAUGCUAAUGCUGAACUACCGCUAACCGUCCUACACUCGCUUGCAAAUCCAACUCCCAACUCGCCACAGGGCGUGGCCGAGACUCUCGUUGCUUUAUAACUUUGGCACAAGAGCUGCUACGUAGUACUCUACUGGUUUACGUAGUAUCUUACUCUUUAGCCAUUGGCUAAAAUUUAUUCAAAAUGUGUCAAAUUCUGUGUUUUAAGCUGAAGGUGGCGCAUUACUGUGGUUUUUAGGCUGAAAAAUUAAUUUUUAAAGAAAAUGCACCAAAAUGCUAAAAUAAUGAAUACACACAUUUAAAACACUAUUAGACACUCAUUUAUACAGUUCAUCAGCAAAAAAAAGUUAAUUUAGACGUUACUUGCUCUUUAAAUACCAGAGCCUGCAAAAGUGCUACCGCUCACUCCGCCAUCUUAACUCCCCACCUCCCGGCGCUUCGGCGGCCGGUGUGUCCCCGGUGUAAGGCUCCUCCCUUUCCGGUCGGCUCAUGAGGUCCCGGAAGAAGGAAAACAUGAAUGCAAGUCAACGGAGCUAAAAGAGUUAUUUUCUGACCCGCUCAGCCUUAGACCUGGAUCACACAUAUGUUGUACUGCAAAUGAAAACUAAUGAUGGCUGUCUCCACAACGCCUUUCAUUUACUUUGAGAUUUGAAACAAAAAGGGGAGGGGCCGGAGCUCUCGGUUCAGUCUUAUAAUUUAUUAGGUGUAAGAAAAAACUAACGUUUGGACAGAACGUCUUGGUCAGAGUUACAGGCCUUGAUAGAAUUACAGGCAUAUAUAAACAGGUGUGCUGAGGCUGAUUAGACCGAAAACAUACUAGCCUUUAGCUCAUUGGUUGUUGGGCUGGGGAAGAGGCGGGGUCAGCGCCAAAAUAUUAGAGUCAAUAAGUAUCCAUUCAACCCAACCCAGAGUUAUCCAAAAGAUGACUUUCCUGCUCAUCCAUAACAUAAUGAGCCAAAAAUAAAUAUUCUAAAGCAGUUAAAACACCUCAUAUCAAACAUACAGAGAUGUGUAUAAUAACCACGAUGAAACACAUCAAACUGAUGCUAACGAUAAAACAGUAAAACACCUGACUAGAGGAAGCAGGACAGACUAGGUGCUUCGUUCACCCCUGCAGGUUCAAUGGUAUCGAGGGUAUGAAUCCAGUAUGCCUCUCUCCGUAGCAGAAGGCUGAUCAUGUGUCCCCCUCCAGAGGGUGUGGAUACUUUUUCAAUCCCCCAGAAUCUUAAGGACGCCACGGAUCCAUGAUUCACUUGUGCGCAAUGGCAGAACCAAGGACGGUCUGGCCGUUUCCUGUUACUGUUGCUGCUGGAAUGAAGGGCCGACAGCCAGAGUCUGAAAUAUUUGAACAGAUUAGACAUCGUUUGAAACCGCAGAACACAAAUAAGUUUUAACUGAUUAAAUAAUGACUUACAACACAACACCUUUGAAUAAUAUAUAACAAAGUGAAAUUCCAGCAGAAUAAAACUUGCCUGGUGUUCAUGCCAGGGUCUGAGAACCUGUAUGCUUAGGAGCAAAUCUCAGGAUGAGGGAGUGGAGCGACUCUAGUGAGGAUGUCUGGUGCUGCGGGGACAGCUGCCUCAGAACCUUUGCAUCCUGGCUGAAAGGCUGCUUUCUCCAGCGACUGCUGAAGUUGAUCCUGUAGACAAACAAGACACAUUUAGAUAAACCACACAUUAAAUUUACUUCCGGGAAGUUGAACGUGUAGUUGAAACAUCACGAGACCUGGAACUAGCCACUGCUUGUUCCUACUUUGUCCUUCCAGUGGAGGAUGGAGAUAACCUGGAAAGUCAGGUGUCUCGUGUUCAUGGAUGUCCUGAACAUGACUCACAAGUGACUUCCAUUUAGCCUCCAUCAUGUCAGGGUUACCAUCAGGUGUGGCUGCAGUGGUCCGGUACAGAUGGUUCACUAUGGACUGAACUGUUCGGUGCCUUGUUGUCAACGACGCCAUUCACUGUGUCCUCUGUCUUUUCUUUCCCUUUUGGACGCUAACUUCUUGUCUUUAUUCACUAGCCUCAUCCUACAGGCUACAGCUACACAAACAUUAGCCCUUAGCAGCUCACCCAGAUGCUAAUGAGCUUCUCUUCACGAGGCUGAAGUUAGUUUCUGAUUCAGGAAAUGGCUAAAGGCCAAUUACAGCCAUUUUUCUCUACUCUGACCAUCUUUCAUCUGCUCUACCUCAAAGACUACAGCACAUUCACUCUUCAAACCUGUGCUAGAUUAUUCUAGACCAGACCCUUUGAGAUCCAGAGUGCAGACACUCCCAUAGACUUCAGUAAAAAGAAUGUAAUGUGGAAGUAACGUCGGCCGUGGAGCUUCGGAUACUUCCAAACACCAAUAGUUCCACCAUUGAACGCUGUUCAUUCUCGGACUUUCAGAGCUCCGCCUCCAACAAAAUAAGUCAAUAGUGAUUUUUCCUGUAGCCAGUUUUAGUUCAUUUAUCGUGUUAACCGGCUAAUCGUAGUUUUAACUGCAGCUAGCUUAUAGUUAGCGGCCUGUUUUAGUGGGUUAAACUAAAACUUAUUCAGCAGUUUUAAACGUUUAUGUUUAGAGUUGUGUAAAUUAUUCUGACAUUUUUAGUUCAACAUAUAUUCUAUUAAGUCACGAUUUUGUCCGUGUGUAAAGAUCAGAGUGGUAGCGGAGCAACGAAUCUUCAUCAGACACGUUUUAACUUCCUUUGUCCCUGCUGCUCUGUAACUCGCUCCAACUCCAGUGACUAAACCAUCUCAACUAGAGAAAAGCUGUUUUUAUUCUGAGAUGGCUGCUGCUAGUUUAGUUAGAGAUGUAGAUCUUUUAACAGACAGCAGCAUAAAUGAGAUCAUGAACAUGAGUAAUUAUUUCAUAUGUUUCAGUUAAACCACCUGAUGCUGACUUCUGUAACCUGCUGAAGCACGUUACACACUCAGGAUCACCAUGGUAACACCAUGUGUCCUCCAGGAUAACCAGGGCUGAAUCAGGACAUCUGAACAACAGAACCUUUACAGGCUCUGAUCAUGAGUGGUGAGGAGCAACAACCAGGUUGGUGGAAGCUGCAGGUAAGGUCAGCGAUGGAGUAAAAGCUGGUAGUGGACUGGUGGGUGAUGGGGAGACUAUCAAAAUAAAAUUCAUAUUAAAGUGAUCAGGAGCUAAUAUUAGCACUGUAGCGUCUUUUCUGAGGUUUCCUGCAGAUGUUAAGAUUCUCUAUGAAUGUAAGAACUUUUAUAGGAUCACUGGUAUUAAAAUGAAAGGUAAGAGACCUAAAAACCCUCCAAACACACCACUCACCUGUACUGGUGCUGGAGCGUUGGUGGGGGUGUGCUUGUUGACAUGCUAGAUGCUGUUUUUACGGAGCCCGUCUGGUGACAUUGAGGGGAAAAAAAAGAACUCGUGGCCACGACUUGUAAAUGCACGAGUGUGUGUGUUCCAGAGAUCGGCUUUCCUGAAAUGAUCUCUUAAAAGCCCCCAAAUCAUUAACUUUGAGCUAAUAUUAGGUUUUAUCAUAAGGUUGCUGAUAUUUAUUUUAAAGAAUAAUAACCAGUUGUUUUACUUAAUUAAUCAGAUCAUCCAAUAGCGCAGGUGAUGCGUCUUUUCUUUCAGCCCCACAGACAAAGAUAGUAGAUAAAGUGUGUGUCCUCUGUUGUUGGUAGUGACUGACUUACUUUCAUGUGUUUGAAUGACUUAUUGGUGUAUUAAUUGUGUCACGCGCGACUGCGCAUCUGUGAACCAAUAAACUGCACAUAGCGGUCAGAGGCACACAUGUGGGAGAACAGGAGUUCUGACAGAACACCGGCUCAUUCCAGCGGGGUUAGCCGACAGGCGGGCUGAUAUCUGUUUGGUAUGAAAAACAUUUCCUGACUAAAACCCUUUUGGGUUCAAAUGUUUGCGUUAGAUCUGGAAAAGACAGCGAUCUCUCCCAGCGCACCAUGAGAAUAUUUAUUAUCUUAGGCUUCUGACCACUUUUUAAAAGCUGUUUAUUUAUCUAUAUUUGGUGAUGUGGCGCUAGAAAACCAUAAAACAUAUUUUCGUGCUCAUACGUCACAAGCCAGUUCUUGGAUUUCCCAUCUCAGUUAUGGAUACCCGUGACAUGCCGUCAAUAGGCUGAUUUUUUUCAGCACCAUGGAUAGCAGCGUCAUACGUCGUGUCCUGUGUCAACGCCACUUGCUAAACCAGACGCCGGAAGACAUUGGAAAAUGUUACGAACCUCCGGCACGCCGGUCAGGGCGUGGCCGUAGAAGUGGGCAGAGCCACAGUCUGCGACAGGUGUGAAGGGAUGCAGCUGAAGCACAUCGGCAAUCAGCGUCUGGAGGACAUGAGGUUGCAACAUUCUCAUAGUCGUGAUGCGCUCAGGCUUCAGUUUUGUCUUGCUUCUCUGACUAAAUGAUGUCAUCAUUGUUUUGGAUAAACAUACGCUUUAAUUUAUGUUUAUUUACAACAGAAAAUGACUUAAUAUGGAAGAACCGUGUGGGAAUCGCUGUGAGGUUACAGAAAGAUGUGAGGGAGCAGGAGGAGAAAAAUGUCUGGGGAUGGGGAGGAAUGGCUGGUUGGACUUAAGCCCUCCAGGGAGCCGGCAGCCGGCUCCUCCACUGACUGUCUCCCUGACAGUGAAGCUAAACGAGACUUUAUUAAUUGUUUAUUCCUAAACACUGACUGACUUAUAUUACAGCCGAAACAAAUCUUCCUGGUAUCAGGAUCAUGUCUCUGACCCUCCUCUCUAACUGGAGAGUUAGCUAACAAGCUAACAUGCUGAAGAGAGGUUUUCUGGUUCCACCCUUUGAAGAGUUUUGGUUCACUAUCAUCAGAAAUGCAGUUUUAGGUUAAAUAAAGGUUCUAAGAACAUUUAAAGAAGAAAUAAAUAGAAGAGCAGGAAUAACACAGGAGGAAUGAAGACAAUAGCAUUGACCUCUCUUGUACAGUGUUGUGUAGACGCUAAUCUACAUGUCUCUGCAGGCUGGGCCGGUUACACAGUCUCUGCAGGCUGGGCCGGAGCGGCCCUCAAAACCACCAUCGGAACCGGAGACCAUGGAGACGCCGGACAGGACGGAGGGUCGACCUCCUGAGUGCAGACAGCAUCCUCAGAUGAGCCGACUUCAGACGAGGCGACGUCGUCAGACGAGCCGACUUGGGAGGCGACGCCACCGGACGAGCCGACCUGGGAGGCGACGUCUUCGGACUAGCCGACUUCAGAGGAGGACGCGACGUCAUCGGACGAGCCGACUUCAGAGGAGGAGGCGACGUCAUCGGACGAGCCGACUUCAGAGGAGGGGGCGACGUCAUCGGACGAGCCGACUUCAGAGGAGGGGGCGACGUCAUCGGACGAGCCGACUUCGGAGGGGGGCGACGUCAUCAAACGAGCCGACUUCGGAGGGGGCGUCAUCAGACGAGCCGACUUCAGAGGAGGAGGCAUCGGACGAUCCGACUUCAGAGGAGGCGGCAUCGGACGAUCGUCUUCCGAUGCGUCACCGGUGAUCCUGGUGACGCAUCGGCGUUAAAGGGUUAAAAACUAAAUGAAAACAAAGUGCGUCAAUCCUGACCAAUGUGUUAAAAGAUGUGCAGGAUCCGAUCAAUUUGUUUUUCCCUCAUUUACAGUCACGGACAUAACGGCACACUGGCUCUGGUGUUAAUCAAGUUAAAUUUAAUCUCUUUCCAACAAUUUUCACAAGAAAACAGAACAGUUAAAAGCAGGGCUUGUGUUGUGUUGACCGGAUAUUUCCCGUAUUUGACCGUUUAUUUUGACGGAGAAAGAAUAGAAAGAAUACGCAUGCAGACGAACUGACAUUUUAUUGCAGAUGUAGCUAAAUCACCUGAGAAAAGAUUCCCAUCUGAACAUCUGAGCUGGACACUGCUCAGCGCAGCUCACUGUCAGCGCAUACAUAAGGUGCACAGCGAGCUGAAGAUGUGGAGAGGAGCUUGGAGCGCAUCGCAGAACCAGGGCGCAUGCGGGAAGGUUCCUCCCACUGAAGCAAGUGUUUUCCUAACCCUGUCUCUCAGAGAGACUGUCAGAAAAUGUUCCCUGAUUAUGAAACUUUGGCUGAAUAGUGCUUGUUCCUGUCUCCAAUGUGGCAACGCAUCCCUGAGCCUGUCUGAGGAGAAGCCCAGAAUCUCACAUCCUCUUCAGCUCAGAAAAUGCCAAUUAUGAAAAAGCGUGACCUGUCAACCCGGUCUCACAGUAAGACCGGGUUGGAACUGUUCAGGUUUACGCAGACAAUCUUUACAUUUAGAAUUGACUUACAGAUAUAAAAUUAAUUCAGUAAAAUAUAAAGCAUUUUAUUUAAAUAUCCAUUCAUUAUUUUACAAGCACAGAGAGCCACACCAGGAUGGAUGGAAGAGCCGCGGGUUGCCGACCCCUGGUAUAGCCUAUAAAAUGACAUGUUUUCUCCAGGACCACAGAGGACACAAACUCAAUACAUGUCUUUUAUUGUGAGGUAAUAAUUUCUCAGAGUUUUGCGGUUGCGGGCGGGAGUAGACAUGCACACAGCGGGUGCGGGCGGGAGUAUAACACACGUUGCGGUUGUAAUGGUCAAAAAUUCAGCGGGAGUGGGCAGGAGCGGGAUAUUUAAUAAAGAUAAUUAAGAAAGUGACACAACAUGAAAAUGUACUCUGUUGUGAACACAGAUGACUUAAUGAGGCGAGGAGGAAGCUCCCUCUUGCUGAGGAGCAGACAGACCUCCAGUCUGAGGCGGAAGCCAUUGAAAGGCCUCAAAGAAGAAUUAAGCCAAGCAUAUGUCCAGGACCGGGCCUCAUCAGAGGAUGAAGCCCAGACCCCUGGAAGAGGGCUUCCCCCACCCCCAGCCAUCCCCCCAGUGAGGAGAAGGUUCAUCCUCCCCAAUACAAUAACCUGUACCUCUGCCUGACCUGACCAAUUACCAGCAUGUCAUGACCCUGGGGACAUCAUUGCGGCAGGCCAUUGACCUGCAGGGUCACCAGGGAACCCAGGGGGUUCCAGUUCCAACUCCCUCUUCAUCUGGUGGGAUGAUGAGGGAGGAACCGGCUCUCCAGGUGCCUACAGUUUGCCCCAACUCCUCUCCAGGGCAGUGGCAGCAGAGGGAUGACAUGACAUCUCUCCUGCAUGAAGUCCUGGUGAAACAGGAAAUAAUCCUUCAGCAGCAGCGCGGCCUCACCAAAAUGGUGCAGGACCUUUUGUUGCUGUUGCUGCUCUUCAGGGCCUGACCACAGGGGGAAGUGUGGAGACCAGGCACCAUGGCAUCUACCCCUUGGCAGAUGUUCAGGCCCUGAUGGCCCUGGAGAGGGAGCUUGGAAUCAGUCCAACAUUGGCCCAUGAAUUGGGUUCAACACUCGGCCUUGCGGGGGGGUCCACAGUUAAGGACACGGUGUGGCGGGUCCUCAAAGGAGCCAUGACUAAUGCCCUCGCCGAGGGCAAAAUGGGAAGGUGGCCUUUGAGAGGCUCCACCUAAAAGGCAUUGUAAUUGCUGCAGUGAGAAGGAAUCCAGUCUGUGUGGUGUCUACAGAGGCAUAAAUUGUAAAUACAAUUAAAAAAUGGUUCUACUGGGCUGGGGAUGGGGACGGAGGGCGCAAAAGGAGAAUGCCCACCCAACCAACCCCUCAACCAGCCCAGGACUCAGUCCAGGACUGACCUUUACAAAAAUAAAUAAAUAAAAUAUUCAAAUUUUA